This is a non-coding RNA of Schistosoma rodhaini, 46 nucleotides long. NCBI's taxonomy places the organism in Eukaryota, Metazoa, Platyhelminthes, Trematoda, Strigeidida, Schistosomatidae. The record is from Rfam.
GCAUUGCUGAGGAGUCCCACACUGGGACGAAACGGUCGUUCAGUGC